This 496-nucleotide ribosomal RNA is filed under the name uncultured bacterium. RNAcentral's name for it is "partial 16S ribosomal RNA". It matches the Rfam family "Bacterial small subunit ribosomal RNA", at positions 29 to 523 of the family's 1533-position model. The record is from RNAcentral.
AUUGAACGCUGGCGGCAUGCCUUACACAUGCAAGUCGAACGGUAGAGGGGGCAACCCCUUGAGAGUGGCGAACGGGUGAGUAAAGCGUCGGAACGUACCCAGUUGUGGGGGAUAACUACUCGAAAGAGUGGCUAAUACCGCAUAAGACCUGAGGGUGAAAGGGGGGGAUCGCAAGACCUCUCGCGAUUGGAGCGGCCGAUGUCAGAUUAGGUAGUUGGUGGGGUAAAGGCCUACCAAGCCUGCGAUCUGUAGCUGGUCUGAGAGGAUGGCCAGCCACACUGGGACUGAGACACGGCGCAGACUCCUACGGGCGGCAGCAGUGGGGAAUUUUGGACAAUGAGGGCAACCCUGAUCCAGCCAUGCCGCGUGCGGGAAGAAGGCCUUCGGGUUGUAAACCGCUUUUGUCAGGGAAGAAAUCUUCUGGGUUAAUACCCUGGGGGGAUGACGGUACCUGAAGAAUAAGCACCGGCUAACUACGUGCCAGCCGCCGCGGUAA